This 512-nucleotide ribosomal RNA is filed under the name uncultured bacterium. RNAcentral describes it as "bacterial SSU rRNA". It matches the Rfam family "Bacterial small subunit ribosomal RNA", at positions 34 to 518 of the family's 1533-position model. The record is from RNAcentral.
CGCUGGCGGCGUGCCUAAUACAUGCAAGUCGAACGGUCUUUCUAUGGAAGCUUGCUUCCACUGAGAAGAUAGUGGCGAACGGGUGAGUAACACGUGGGUAACCUGCCCAUAAGAGGGGGGAUAACAUCCGGAAACGGGUGCUAAUACCGCAUAGUUUUCUUGAUCGCAUGAUUGAGAAAGGAAAGACGGCCUUUGUGCUGUCGCUUAUGGAUGGACCCGCGGCGUAUUAGUUAGUUGGUGAGGUAACGGCUCACCAAGACGAUGAUACGUAGCCGACCUGAGAGGGUGAUCGGCCACAUUGGGACUGAGACACGGCCCAAACUCCUACGGGAGGCAGCAGUAGGGAAUCUUCCGCAAUGGACGAAAGUCUGACGGAGCAACGCCGCGUGAGUGAAGAAAGGUUUUCGGAUCGUAAAACUCUGUUGUCAGAGAAGAACAAGUUGGAGAGUAACUGCUCCAGCCUUGACGGUAUCUGACCAGAAAGCCACGGCUAACUACGUGCCAGCAGCGGC